UGGGGAAUAUUGCACAAUGGGGGAAACCCUGAUGCAGCGACGCCGCGUGAACGAAGAAGGUAUUCGUAUCGUAAAGUUCUGUCCUAUGGGAAGAUAAUGACAGUACCAUAGAAGAAAGCUCCGGCUAAAUACGUGCCAGCAGCCGCGGUAAUACGUAUGGAGCGAGCGUUGUCCGGAAUUAUUGGGCGUAAAGGGUACGCAGGCGGUUUAAUAAGUCGAACGUUAAAGAUCGGGGCUCAACCCCGUAAAGCAUUGGAAACUGAUAAACUUGAGUAGUGGAGAGGAAAGUGGAAUUCCUAGUGUAGUGGUGAAAUACGUAGAUAUUAGGAGGAAUACCAGUAGCGAAGGCGACUUUCUGGACACAAACUGACGCUGAGGUACGAAAGCGUGGGGAGCAAACAGG
RNAcentral lists this ribosomal RNA (403 nucleotides) under bacterium. RNAcentral describes it as "partial 16S ribosomal RNA". It matches the Rfam family "Bacterial small subunit ribosomal RNA", at positions 355 to 776 of the family's 1533-position model. The record is from RNAcentral.